This 714-nucleotide long non-coding RNA is filed under the name Homo sapiens (human). RNAcentral's name for it is "non-protein coding lnc-LRRC47-78:29". Lineage: Eukaryota; Metazoa; Chordata; Mammalia; Primates; Hominidae. The record is from RNAcentral.
CCCAGGUGUCUCAGGGAGAAUGGGCUUCGGGGAAUAGGCUUGCCUGCUUCAUCUCCUGACUCCUUUGCUAGGCACUUUGAUCCGGUUUUCCAGUUCUUGCACAAGCAAGUUUGUGUCAGCCACGCCCUGGGGAGGAUCCACUGGAUCACCGCCGUCACUGCCUGUUCCCGGCGGCCUCUCCGGCUUCCCUAAAGAGAGCAGGUGGGACUUUCUACAACGCUGCUGUGCACGACGUGGAUGCCGUAUGCAUGUUGCUGGGGGAAGCCACUCCGGACACUGUGUUUUCUCUGGGACAUGUCUUCUGCCCAGAUGAAAACUCAGCCUGUAAUCAGUCUGAUUGGUGUGAACAGCGACCAUUCAGAGGCUGGAGUGAGUGAAGUUACAAAGUUGCAAAGGAAGACUUGACCCACAAUCAGUCUGAUUUGUUGCAGACAGCCAGUUUCCCAUCUGCCAGGCAGAAAACAUAUGGCCGCCUUAAAAGAUGCAGAUGCUGUUGUGAUCAGCAUGAAGUUUCCCUGUGAGGCCGUGGUUAGCGUGGACAUCAGCCAGCACUGCACAGACAGCUGCGACCAGGACGUCAGCCAGCACUGCACAGACAGCUGCGACCAGAGACUGGAGGUGACCCUUGCCCUUUUCCACCCUUCGCCAGUCCACUGUGAAAAGCUGGGUUGAUUGUGCGGGUUAGAUAGAGGUCAUCAGCCGGGUUGAUUGUGU